This 131-nucleotide small nucleolar RNA is filed under the name Caenorhabditis briggsae. RNAcentral's name for it is "Cb222 H/ACA snoRNA". It matches the Rfam family "Caenorhabditis snoRNA ceN101". Lineage: Eukaryota; Metazoa; Nematoda; Chromadorea; Rhabditida; Rhabditidae. The record is from RNAcentral.
UUUUACCUCACUUAUAAGCCGGGGGACUAGCUUUAUGUUGUGUUCACUAGUAAAAUGUGAGGUAGAGUAUAGAGACAGCCAGACACCGAGAAUGUUUUGAUGUUUUCGGUCACUUUGUGUGUCCCACAUUU